This is a non-coding RNA of Phalacrocorax carbo (great cormorant), 539 nucleotides long. The record is from RefSeq and is a predicted model, not a curated record. Lineage: Eukaryota; Metazoa; Chordata; Aves; Suliformes; Phalacrocoracidae.
CGUGCUGAGGUCGCAGUUGUCUGUCCUUCCCCUGGGGAUGUCGUUGACUGCAGCCGUCUCAGGCUUGCGUGGCUUCUCUCUGCCCGGUGUUGCCAUCCUCGCAGCGCGGGGGCGAAAAGGGACACACAGAGCCCUUCCCGGCUGUGGACAGGAGCUGCCUCGGCUGAAGCUGGAGACGCCAACGAAAGGUAAAGCAGAAGAAACUGAAGGCGCUCUGGCUGCCAGCUGCCUUCCUGCCGCAGGCGAGAGAGAGCCUGUCCCUGCAGGUGGAAGACGGCCAAGUGACUGGUGUUGCAGAAGGGGGGGAGGAGAGAAGGGAAGAGAAACAUUUGGACCGCUAAAUUCUCCUAGCAGCACUGAGAGCGAGAGUCGCAGUUUUCCUGUGAUGGGAGCAGAGCGUCGGGGCAUCCAUGGACAGAGCGUCGGGCACCCUCCUGUGUUUGCAGGGUGACCCUGAGGAAGCGUUAUCUGUGGGUCAAUUGCAUGAGUAUAUUUUGUGGGUGUGCUAAUCUCUUUCAGAGUUUGUCUGAGGGUAAGGA